GAUGAACGCUGGCGGCGUGCCUAAUACAUGCAAGUCGAGCGAACAGAUAAGGAGCUUGCUCCUUUGACGUUAGCGGCGGACGGGUGAGUAACACGUGGGUAACCUACCUAUAAGACUGGGAUAACUUCGGGAAACCGGAGCUAAUACCGGAUAACAUUUGGAACCGCAUGGUUCUAAAGUGAAAGAUGGUUUUGCUAUCACUUAUAGAUGGACCCGCGCCGUAUUAGCUAGUUGGUAAGGUAACGGCUUACCAAGGCGACGAUACGUAGCCGACCUGAGAGGGUGAUCGGCCACACUGGAACUGAGACACGGUCCAGACUCCUACGGGAGGCAGCAGUAGGGAAUCUUCCGCAAUAGGCGAAAGCCUGACGGAGCAACGCCGCGUGAGUGGUGAAGGGUUUCGGCUCGUAAAACUCUGUUAUUAGGGAAGAACAAAUGUGUAAGUAACUGUGCACGUCUUGACGGUACCUAAUCAGAAAGCCACGGCUAACUACGUG
RNAcentral lists this ribosomal RNA (497 nucleotides) under uncultured bacterium. Its description in RNAcentral is "partial 16S ribosomal RNA". It matches the Rfam family "Bacterial small subunit ribosomal RNA", at positions 28 to 507 of the family's 1533-position model. The record is from RNAcentral.